CACUAUAAUUUCCCUCCUUUCCCUCGUUUUCUUCUCUGCGCCUUUUUGACCCCCCACACCCCAAUCCCCCCCCGGCGCACGCCCUCUUCCCUCGUCCUCGUCCACCUCGAUCCGGAGAUCCCACAUCUCUGAUCUGAACCCCUGCCUCGAUCGGCCCCCCGCCGCUUUCCCCCUGCCGGAAUCCGACUAGGAAUGAGGCAUAUGCCACGGGUUCUGUAUCGGUGGACGAUCUGGGUGUGUUAGCCUGGAGAUCGGUGGUCUGUGGGGUUUCUGUUUUGUUUUUGGGGUCAUUUUGCGGGUGCCCGUUUGAUGUCGGGCGGCCGAGCUGCUGGGAGCCGCUCCGCACAGGCGUCAACACCGAUCCUCCAACAGCCGAAGCAGCGGCGGCGCGUGCUGUUCUCCUCGGCGAGGCCGCCUUUUGUUACCCCGGACGAGUACCACAGCUUCCCUGCGCCCCAUGGGCGGCCGAUCGCCGGCAACGAGAUGGUCGAUGCCCUGGUCAUUAAAUCCCCUUCAAAGCAGAAGCCUGAAAACAAGGAUAAUGAGGCUGCAGUGUCAAGCGAGUUGAAGACUAGUCCUGGUUAUGCUGGAGCUAAUAAUCCUCUUCUCACACCGGUAACAGGAAAGGGAGGAAAAACAAAUGGCAGAUCCAAGGUAGCAAAGUACAAUAAGUCUGGACCUCAGACCCCUAUGUCAACUGUUGGUUCAGCCUCGGGCAAUGUUCUCACUCCUGUUGGUACUUGUCGUUACGAUAGUUCUCUAGGACUCUUGACUAAAAGGUUUAUCAGUUUGCUUAAACAAGCACAAGAUGGCAUCCUUGAUUUGAAUAAUGCUGCAGAAACACUUGAGGUGCAAAAGAGGCGGAUAUAUGACAUCACUAAUGUCCUUGAAGGGAUUGGACUGAUAGAAAAGAAACUCAAGAACAAAAUCUGUUGGAAGGGAUUAGAUAAUGCGAGGCCAGGGGAGGUUGAUGACGAUCUUUCAGUACUACAGGCAGAAAUUAAAAAACUUGCAUUGCAAGAGCAUGGAUUGGAUGACCGUAUCAGCAAAAUACAAGAAAGAUUACGGGUGUUUUCUGAAGAUGAAAGAAACCAGAGGUGGCUUUAUGUGACUGAAGAUGACAUCAAAGGUCUUCCUUGUUUUCAGAAUGAAACACUUAUAGCAAUAAAGGCACCUCAUGGUACUACACUGGAAGUUCCAGAUCCUGAUGAGGCUGGUGAAUAUCCACAAAGGAGAUACAGAAUUGUCCUAAGAAGCACAAUGGGUCCAAUAGAUGUUUACCUUGUUAGUCAAUUUGAGGAGAAAUUUGAGGAGAUGAACCGUAUUGAGACACCUUUGAGGCUCAAUCCCAUGGCAGAUUCACAGACUGUUGAGAACUCCAUGUUGGCGAUUGCCACAGAAGAGAGCAGAAGAAAGGAAACGGAAUUUAAGGAUCAAGAUUGUCAGAGGGCAUGCCCUGACAUAAGUUCCUCACAGGAUGCUGGUGGUGGUAUGAUGAAGAUUGUUCCUUGUGAUGUUGACACUGAUGCUGAUUACUGGCUUCUAUCAGAGUCUGGAGUCAGCAUUACAGAUAUGUGGAAGACAUCACCGGAGGUCCAGUGGGAUCGGAUCUGUGCGUUUAGCACGGACGACUUCGUUACAAGUGGUGCUGGCACACCUCGGCCACCGGCUCCAACAUCUGGUGUUAUUGACCCUUUGACACAAACUCUACUCGGAAAUAAAUGCAGGGCAGACAAUCUGUGACAUUAAAAUUGAAAACUUCAUUCUCCAGGUGCAUUAAAAUUCUCAUCUCACUGCCACAAAAGUCAAACCGGGAAACAAUUCGGUGAUCAAAGAAUUAAGAGGUGAGGCUAUGCAAGAGCACUCUCGAUUCCGAGAACUAGCCACUGCAGUCCUAUGUGUUGGAUCGAGUAUACAUCUUACUGUAUUGUUCAUAAUGCAACUAUUUAAACAUAUCUUGAGGCUGCUGUUCAUUUUGUUUUGACUACAGAUUGAGAAAGAUAUCAAUUCUUAACGACGAUGGCUUCUUGUCUAUCUUUUCCUAACCUAACGUUGGCUUUCCUCCCUCUUUGGAGCCAUAUAUAUCUCUGCAAAAAAGGAGAAGCAAGAAAAAGAAAGACCAUAUGGAUAAAGCAGGAUAUUAGAGUGCUUGAGGUACAAAUAAAUUCAGCUAUCAUGUUAAAACAAAUUAAUUAUUAUUAAUCCUGAAGCUGGUACAAAAAUGCAUGGGCCAUGAACAGCAGUUAUGUGUAUUUUUUACAGUCUGAUAAGGGCUUAAAAAGAAAAAAAAGCAACAAUUUCCAAAACCCAUAGAAAAA
RNA transcript from Musa acuminata AAA Group (dessert banana), 2318 nucleotides. It is a transcript of the gene named transcription factor E2FB-like, with no coding region annotated. The record is from RefSeq and is a predicted model, not a curated record. Lineage: Eukaryota; Viridiplantae; Streptophyta; Magnoliopsida; Zingiberales; Musaceae. The transcript is spliced from 16 exons.